RNAcentral lists this ribosomal RNA (119 nucleotides) under Triticum aestivum (bread wheat). The record is from RNAcentral. Lineage: Eukaryota; Viridiplantae; Streptophyta; Magnoliopsida; Poales; Poaceae.
GGAUGCGAUCAUACCAGCACUAAAGCACCGGAUCCCAUUAGAACUCCGAAGUUAAGCAUGCUUGGGCGAGAGUAGUACUAGGAUGGGUGACCUCCUCGGAAGUCCUCGUGUUGCAUUCC